AACGAACGCUGGCGGCAUGCCUAACACAUGCAAGUCGAACGAGACCUUCGGGUCUAGUGGCGCACGGGUGCGUAACGCGUUGGAACCUUCCCUUAUGUUCGGAAUAACUCCCCUAAAGGUGUGCUAAUACCGGUUAAUGUCUUCGGACCAAAGAUUUAUCGCCUUUGGAUGGGCCCGCGUUGGAUUAGCUUUUUGGUAGGGUAAAAGCCUACCAAGGCGACGAUCCAUAGCUGGUCUGAGAGGAUGAUCAGCCACACUGGGACUGAGACACGGCACAGACUAGUACGGGAGGGAGCAGUGGGGAAUAGUGGAAAAUGGGGGAAAGCAUGAACCAGAAAUGAGGGGUGAGUGAUGAAGGGAUUAGGGUUGUAAAGCUCUUUUACCCGGGAUGAUAAUGACAGUACCGGGAGAAUAAGCACCGGCUAACUCCGUG
RNAcentral lists this ribosomal RNA (433 nucleotides) under uncultured bacterium. RNAcentral's name for it is "partial 16S ribosomal RNA". It matches the Rfam family "Bacterial small subunit ribosomal RNA", at positions 29 to 507 of the family's 1533-position model. The record is from RNAcentral.